UUGUUUAGAUUGGAUUUUUGAAUCUAGCGUGUAAUAGCCAGAUUCCGAAACAAAAAAUAAUGAAUUUGGAUACUAAAAGGAGACGUGUCACGAUUCCAAGAGGAACGAGAGCACGCCUCCCCGUUUUUUAAUGAUCCUUCCGCAGGUUCACCUACGGAAA
This 160-nucleotide unclassified non-coding RNA is filed under the name uncultured fungus. RNAcentral describes it as "sequence contains ITS1, 5.8S rRNA gene". The record is from RNAcentral. Lineage: Eukaryota; Fungi.